UGCUCGGCACGCCGGGAACAUCGCGCUGCAUCUGCACCAUUUGGCUUAGUCCUCUUUAUGCAUUUCUACUUUCUGGUUGCUACGUUUCGGCACCUUCAAAAGGCACGUACGCCAUGUUAACUAUUUAAUGUGUAUCACGUGCUUAUGUGCCGUCUUCUGAAGUGUUGUUUUCCGGGUGCCUAUUGCCUUCGGCCCCACCUGGGAUUUUAUCAGCAAGGUGUGAAAACGCGACCGACAGUGCAGGAAAGCUGCACGGUACGUGCUGCGCGGCUCUCUGGUGCGCAGACACGGGUCGAAGCAUCCAGACCAUGUUUUGCACUUCGCCGCGGACGAAAGGUGUGGGGCACCUCCGGAAGGCUGCUAUCUCCAAGAAGGCAUAGACAGACCGUUCCCGCGCUGCUGUAGAGUCCGUUGUCCUGAGAUGAGUGUUUGUGUCACAAGUAAUGGCUCUUUGAUGAAAAGUGGAGAGACCCUUAACUCAUCAGAUCCAUGCUUGCGUUACACGUGCAGAAACGGAAUCCUGUUGACACAGGGGUGCCCAAUACCAUCGGAGACCUCAUGUGCUGUCCCUUAUACAAAUACAGGCUUGCCUUACCCAGAAUGCUGUGGCUUGAAGAGAGACUGUAUCGGUUGAAAGAUCGGAUGCUAACUCAAAACCUCGACAGGAAUAGAAAUAAAAAAAAU
Molecule: unclassified non-coding RNA, 684 nt
Filed under: Dermacentor andersoni
Lineage: Eukaryota; Metazoa; Arthropoda; Arachnida; Ixodida; Ixodidae
Description: kielin/chordin-like protein
Source: RNAcentral